RNAcentral lists this ribosomal RNA (301 nucleotides) under uncultured bacterium. RNAcentral's name for it is "partial 16S ribosomal RNA". It matches the Rfam family "Bacterial small subunit ribosomal RNA", at positions 509 to 809 of the family's 1533-position model. The record is from RNAcentral.
CAGUCGCCACGGUAAUACGAGGGGUGCAAGCGUUAAUCGGAAUUACUGGGCGUAAAGCGUGCGUAGGCGGUUUGUUAAGUCUGCUGUGAAAUCCCCGGGCUCAACCUGGGAAUGGCAGUGGAUACUGGCAAGCUAGAGUGUGUCAGAGGAUGGUGGAAUUCCCGGUGUAGCGGUGAAAUGCGUAGAGAUCGGGAGGAACAUCAGUGGCGAAGGCGGCCAUCUGGGACAACACUGACGCUGAGGUACGAAAGCAUGGGGAGCAAACAGGAUUAGAUACCCGCGUAGUCCCUGUUUCUUAUAA